AGUAAAACUGAUAUGAAAAAA
Molecule: non-coding RNA, 21 nt
Filed under: Caenorhabditis elegans
Lineage: Eukaryota; Metazoa; Nematoda; Chromadorea; Rhabditida; Rhabditidae
Source: RNAcentral